Long non-coding RNA from Odocoileus virginianus texanus, 312 nucleotides. RefSeq lists it as uncharacterized. The record is from RefSeq and is a predicted model, not a curated record. Lineage: Eukaryota; Metazoa; Chordata; Mammalia; Artiodactyla; Cervidae.
GAUGAAAAGGCAGAGAUACAGCUCGCUCCAGCACAGGGUCACUAUACCCACAGGAGACGUGCCAAGACUUCUCUAACAGUCUAGUUCAAGAGGCCAUAUGCCUCAUUCUGUGAGAGCCGUGGAGGUUGAAGCAUGGGUGUAGAGAGAGACAGAGAGAUCACAAGCUCAGAAAGAAAGGACCAGACUUCUGGAUAAGCAGUACUAGAAGCCCACAAACCAUAAACUGCAUAAUUGCCUCACGCACACACACAACUGGACCAGCAAUAGCUUUCUGGCUCAAAAGACAAAUAAAAGUGAAUAUUCUGUUGUAAA